Molecule: long non-coding RNA, 3656 nt
Organism: Limulus polyphemus (Atlantic horseshoe crab)
Lineage: Eukaryota; Metazoa; Arthropoda; Merostomata; Xiphosura; Limulidae
Exons: 3
Source: RefSeq, a predicted model, not a curated record
CCUCGUAGUCAUUGAGACACCCCGCAAGGUCAUCAGAUUCGUUCAGGACUUUGCGUGUCUAACUUCAUACAUCAAUAGUCACUUAACUGUUUUGAUUACUUUAAAUACGCAGCAGUCUUUGCAAUUUAUAACUUGUGUACAUUCAAAUACAAAAUACUAUAACCAAAAAAAAAAAAAUGUUUUGUACGCGAAGCACGAGUUUUUCCCCUAGUUUAUUAAUUAUGCUCCUAGCAAUAUCAUUAAUUUAAAUAAAAAACAGCAAAUGGCCAAAAACUGACCCGAAUUCCUCCAAUAAUACAAAAGGUCCAAUGUUUGUGACUGGACUUCAUUAACCCUUUCUGGACUGGAGAGCUCUACAGUUUGAAGCAAACAGGAUGUCUACUGGGAAUACAGUCACCUAGGAUGGAAAAAAUGAGUACUCCUUCAGUCAAUUGUUGUAAGAGCAUUUAGAUAAAAAUUACCAACCCUGAUCCUCAAAAACGUGUGGGUUUCAAUUUUUCAUCAAACAUUUUAUUAGAAAUAUUUUAUGUACAAUAGAAUAGAGCUCAGCAAUUUAAACCAAUUAUCUAUGAUCAACGAUUACAGCAAUUAAUGAUGUAACUAAUCAAAAUUACAAUUAAAUUUUUUAAUUGAAAUUACUGUUUUUGAUUAUUCCAAUAAGUAAUUAAUGGAAAUUUUGAUAAUAUUGAUUAAUCAGCUAAUCAAAGUCAGGGUUUCCAUUUAUUUUUCAUUAUUCCACCAACCAGUUUGACCUGUUUUUGUUAUGGCAAAGCUAAUAAAGCUAUCUUCUGUCACCAUUUUUAAACUGCUGACUAAAGAAAGACAAAUCACUGGCGGUAUCUACUGUUAACCUUUUUGUUGUUGUUAUUGAGCUGUUGACUAAUGGGAAGGCAACUGGUUGGCAGCAACUACUACCACCUUUUUUUUUUUUUUUCUUGCUCGUACAUAUCGAGGUUUGAAGAAAAUUUAGUAAUUGAAUGUAAUUGAUUAAUGGGACCAUCAAUUAGUUGAUUACCAAAUACCACUAAUUUCCCAGUUCUACAUUAAGGUGAAAUUUUUUGUUCAAGCCAAUUGUUUUGGAAAUAGUGUAACCUCUCCCAGCUAGUUUGAAAAAUUUAUUUUAAAAUUCAAUUUGAUUAUACUUAGGCCUUUGUUAUAACACAUGCUGUUGCACAGUUUUUAUGAAUAAAAAUCUUAAGUGAAAAUGUAUUGAGAUAUAUUUAUUUUUGUAGUAUGAGCAAAAAACGUGUCACUCCAGGUUUUCAUUAAAAUGCACCAUGAAUAUACAAAGCAUAAACAUGAAAUACAAAAUCAGUUUUCUGAUUAACCUCAUGAUUUUGUCAAGUAGUAUGACAAAAUGGGAGAAUUUAAGAAUGGGAAUAGUCAAAUAGAUGGCCUUCCUUAGACUUUAGAAUAUCAGGGAUAUAAAAAUAUUAUACACCUGGAAAAAUGUACGUAGUCUUCAAAGAGGGAAAAAAGGACUGCUUUUGUCACUUGACCUCCAUUUACUAUGUUAGUAGUUAUUUAUGUGGCACUAAAUUGCCAUGUUCUAGCAUGUCAACUGCUAAUAAUGUUGUUUCUAAGCCUUAUGCAAGUAUUAGCAGCUGUAGUACUGUGACUACUGAUGUCAGUGCACCAAAAGGAACAGAUAUGGAAGAACAUAUUGAUUCUGUAUCAAAAAAGUGAACAAAAGGUAAACACAGUGUUACUGAUGGCAUUGUUUAUUUUGUACUAAUUAAUGUUCUUGUACUUUUAGUCAAUUUCAGAACAAUAAAAAUUAUGAAGUACUACAAAUUCAGUAUUUCUUCUACUAUUGUUGGUCUUCAGAAUCUGCCACAAUUUAUUUUUUUGCUAGUAAAUAAUUUUUCUGAUUUUUUUGUCAGUUUGUUUUCUGACUAAUAUGCUUCAAACUAUAUAACUAAUAUAUAGACAUUGACUUAAUUAUCUUUGAUUCAAACCAAACUUUUUACAGACUAAACUGGAAGUUUUUCUCAGAAAUGCAAUUAAACUUAUUAAUUUUUGAAGAUAAGUAUUUUAAUACAGAAGCUCAAAAGCUGAAUAACAGAAAAGCAAUGAUAAUCUAAAUUGUUCGUGGUGACAGUUAUUCAUGAAGCUAUGCCAAUCAUAGUGCCACCCAAGUGAUGGCUGUUUAUUAAGUAGUACUAAUGUAAGCAUUCUGUUUGUAUAUUGUAAUACAGAUACAGCUCAUGUUGAAUAUUCUAGAGUCAGUAAUUCAGUUGAAAAUACACCUAAAUAUAUUCUUUUAAUGAAGUAGCAGUAUGUAUUAACAGGGUUUUAAAAUAGCUAAUGUUGUAGUUUUAAAAAUUUUGUAGUUGUAGUUAACUGUAUAACAUUAACAGGGUAGUAUCUUCUUAGGCAAUAAUUAUUCAAAAAUUCUAAUGCUUGAUACCUAUUUAAAAGUGUAUAUUUCUGGUUAUAUAUAUAUAGAAUUCACUAAUUCUUAAACAGGUGGUAACUUUUGUGAAGCAUAGUAAUUUUUUUUGCUCUGCUGAUGUUUCAUAUUUACAAUAUUGAACUUAUUACUUCAUAUUGUUCCACAAAUAAUACACAAAUUGAGAGUCUACAGAUAUUUUUUUCUAGCUUGAAACUAUUUAAUAAAUUUGAAACUGUUUAAAGUAAAAGCAUGUAAUUACCACGUUAGCUAAAUACUUUUGUAAUAGUUUCUAUCUUCAAACAUUCAUGUGCAUGAAAUAUCUAAAUUGAAUAAUUUGUAUGUAUUGUACAUUUACCACAUUCUAGUUCAAAAUUCAAAACAUGUCCAGGGAGCAUCUGGAAAAAACUGCUGUUGAGCUUUUUCCAAGAGUGCCACUUGCUGCUCAAGAUUGCGUGGCUAAUUGGCUUCUCGAUUUGAACUUGAGUCAGAUGGUUAUGAGUUUGAGGCUGGCCCACGUCAUGCUGCCAUGUUUAUAAGCAAGACACUUUACCUCUCUUGUUCCAGUUCAUCCAUCUGUAGGAUGGGUACCUAGCUGUUAGCUGGGGGUUAACUUGUGAUGGACUGGCAUCUCUUCCAGGAGGGAAUGGGGUACCAUUCUCAUCCACUUGUGCCAUUGGAAUCAGAGUUCAAAAGCACUGACCUUAUGUGUCUUAUAAAGGUUCGGCAAGGAUUUAGCUUUUUUUUUAAUUAUUGUUAUUAUGCCUACCUUUUCAUCUUCACAUUGGUGCUUCAUGUCUAUGCUAGCUAUUAUUUAAGGUAUCAGUGAAAAAUAUUGCAAAAUUUUUGGGAUAAUACCAUUUGCUAAUUUCAGAAGUGCUUUUUUUUUAUAUAAAUGAGAUACUAUUUCUAAUCCUUUUGAAUUAAUGUAUCUUUAAAAUGAACACUACAGAUAUGUACCACUUUUAUUUGUGCAAAAGAUGAAGUUUGAACAACCAUUUUUUCAGUCAUUUUUAUUCCAAAGACUGAAAAAUUAUACAUUACUGUUUUCUCUGCUGUUACGAUGUAGUGCUAAAAGCUUAUAAAAAGUGCAAGCAUAUCUGAAAAGAUAAUAAUUUAUGAUCAACUAUAAAUGUUUAGACUAAAUAUAUAUAUAUAUCCUUGGCACUAGUAUGUCAUAACACGAAACUUGUAUGUUCUCAGAAGUUUGAAAUAUGUAAAUAAAUACAUAUGUGAAUAUAAAAAGCAUGUCAUAGUUAUAGAA